UCUUGCACAAUGGGCGCAAGCCUGAUGCAGCAACGCCGCGUGCGCGAAGAAGGCCUUCGGGUCGUAAAGCGCUUUUCGGGGAGACGAGGAAGGACGGUAUCCCCGGAAGAAGUCUCGGCUAACUACGUGCCAGAAGCCGCGGUAAAACGUAGGAGGCAAGCGUUAUCCGAAUUCACUGGGCGUAAAGGGUGUGCAGGCGGUCGGCUAAGUUGGGUGUGAAAUCUCCCGGCUCAACUGGGAGGGGACGCUCAAGACUGGCCGGCUGGAGGGCGGUAGAGGGAGGUGGAAUUCCCGGUGUAGUAGUGAAAUGCGUAGAGAUCGGGAGGAACACCAGUGGCGCAAGCGGCCUCCUGGACCGUACCUGACGCUGAGACACGAAAGCCAGGGGAGCGAACGGG
RNAcentral lists this ribosomal RNA (398 nucleotides) under uncultured bacterium. Its description in RNAcentral is "bacterial SSU rRNA". It matches the Rfam family "Bacterial small subunit ribosomal RNA", at positions 362 to 776 of the family's 1533-position model. The record is from RNAcentral.